Non-coding RNA from Pangasius djambal, 74 nucleotides. The record is from the annotation of a GenBank genome assembly. Lineage: Eukaryota; Metazoa; Chordata; Actinopteri; Siluriformes; Pangasiidae.
GCAGUUGUGGCCUAAUGGUUAGAGAGUUGGGCUUAUAACCCUAAAGGUUGUGAGUUCAAGUCUCAGGUCUGGCA